GGAGGUAUAGCUCAGUGGUAGAGUGAGCGCCUAACAUGUACAAGGUCCUGGGCUCAAUACCCAGUACCUCUA
Molecule: transfer RNA, 72 nt
Filed under: Camelus ferus (Wild Bactrian camel)
Lineage: Eukaryota; Metazoa; Chordata; Mammalia; Artiodactyla; Camelidae
Rfam family: tRNA
About the family: Transfer RNA (tRNA) molecules are approximately 80 nucleotides in length. Their secondary structure includes four short double-helical elements and three loops (D, anti-codon, and T loops).
Source: Rfam by way of RNAcentral